Molecule: ribosomal RNA, 440 nt
Filed under: uncultured bacterium
Lineage: Bacteria
Description: bacterial SSU rRNA
Rfam family: Bacterial small subunit ribosomal RNA
Source: RNAcentral
AACGCGAAGAACCUUACCCAGGCUUGACAUGCAGUGGAAGACGGCAGAGAUGUCGUCGCUCGCGAGAGUCGCUGCACAGGUGCUGCAUGGCUGUCGUCAGCUCGUGCCGUGAGGUGUUGGGUUAAGUCCCGCAACGAGCGCAACCCUUAUCACUAGUUGCCAACACGUAAAGGUGGGAACUCUAGUGAGACUGCCCGGGUUAACCGGGAGGAAGGUGAGGAUGACGUCAAGUCCGCAUGGCCCUUAUGUCUGGGGCUACACACGUGCUACAAUGGUCGGUACAGAGGGAAGCCAAGCCGCGAGGCGGAGCAAAUCCAUAAAGCCGGCCCCAGUUCAGAUUGUAGUCUGCAACUCGACUACAUGAAGUUGGAAUUGCUAGUAAUGGCGUGUCAGCUACAGCGCCGUGAAUACGUUCCCGGGCCUUGUACACACCGGAGUGC